Myotis brandtii (Brandt's bat) is the source of this 2860-nucleotide long non-coding RNA. RefSeq lists it as uncharacterized. NCBI's taxonomy places the organism in Eukaryota, Metazoa, Chordata, Mammalia, Chiroptera, Vespertilionidae. The transcript is spliced from 3 exons. The record is from RefSeq and is a predicted model, not a curated record.
AGCAUUUCGGGCUGUGGACAAGGCCUUCCCCUCCAACCGCCAGGCCCCGAAACUGCAAUUCAAGGUCUCGCUCAUGAGACGUUCCAGAUGUCGUCGUCGGAAAGGACGCUUGGGCUGUGGGGCUUCCUGGGAGAGCCCGCCAGGACAGGACGCAGUGCGGAACCCAGAGGGAAGCCCUCCCCUCCCUGCUCGCCGCACACACGCCCUCUGAGCGCGCUGCUGGCACCGGCAGGAGGGCAGUGGGUUUUAAACACACGCAGUGCACAGAGGCCUCGGCAGUAACAGCCAGCCGGCUGAUAUUCCACCUUGGAGCCUCCCAGACCGCGUGUCCACCCCAGCCCUCCGCCUCCAGCAGGCCUGGGGCACAGCUCCCGGCCCCCGGCCCCCCGAACCUCUCCUGCUCCUGGCGGCUCGGGGAACUUUCUGGACACCUGAAUGGAGUGUGUCUACCUAAAUGCGUAGGAAGAACAUUGGACUUAAUGGUUCCGACGAAGCGAGAACUUCAGUCAAACUGGUUAUCUGACAUGAGGGGGUGACGCCUGGAUCCUGGCCCGAAUCCCAACUGACCUGCCUACACCUGGGGCCAGAGGGCAGACCCCCCCGCAACUGUUGUGCAAAGAGCCAACUGCUGCGAUUUUCUGAGAAAGGGCAACCUUUUGGGGGGAAAGCGAGAAAGAAGGUGUGCGCAGGCGCGAUGUCACAUGGGAAAGGCCCCCCGCGUGUGUUCACCGUUCAAGAAUAAACCAGUCAAAAUGCACCGAGACCAAAGCUGCUUCUCAUCACAACUUCGAAUGUCCACAAAGGACAAAAGGAGACAAAACCAAAAGCAUUCUGCGGCGAUCUGAGCGGCCCCGCCCAGUUUUCUCAUAACCGUACCUUUUCUCAGAGCGGGCGCCUGUGAGUAAGCCUCACUCUGAGGAAGCCCAUGUCUGCUGUGCUAGGUCUCAAUUCAAACAGAGCCGCAAACACGACCUUCAUGGCAAGCCACGGGGCGCACGAAGGCCACGCGAUUCCCCCCGGCGGGGCCUUCAACCGGCUGAGUGUCCCCGACCCUCUGACCCCACUGCCCAUUCCAGGGCCGGGGUCCCCGUGUGGGGUGCUUCCCUUCAACACCCACAAUCACCCAGGGCGGGACCCUUCAUCGUUGCUGACACGGCCUCCACAAACAUUUCCGAACGCGUCAAGUGCUGGCAGGGCCCUUAGGAAGGGAGCGAGAUGGAGCUCCGCAGAGUAUGUGACACAGCGCAACUCCGACACUAAAUAUCUGAAGCCAGAAACAUACGAAGACGGUCAAAAGUCAGGAAUGUGUUCGGAGGCGGGGCUGCAAAUGCCUGCCUUCUCGGAAUACCGCCCAGUCUUCACCUAGGCGUUCUGCAAGAGCCAGGGGCUUGCUCAGCAAUCGAUGGAUCUCCACAGAUCGCCCGAGGGAUGGAGCCAGGCCCAGAUUGGUGCUGACUGGGCGACUGAGAUGCCUCCGGGACAGGCGGCUGGCCAACCGCAGAGUGACUGUGAGCAGGAGUCUAGACCAGGGACCGGGCACCCGGUAGUCCUCCCCAGGGACCACCCUGAGGACCCCAGUCCCCGGUCCUGUCCCUCCCUGGCAUUCGGUGCUCUCCUAAGGCCAGAACUCACAGGUGGCGAGGCAGAGGCAGGAGGUGACUGAGGGAGGGCUCUGGGGCAAGAAGGCCUAAGUGUGAACCCUGGUUCCGCCUCUUCCCAGCUGCCGGGAACUCACUUUACUUCUCCGACCCCCGUUUCCCCAGACAUCACGAGAGCACCGCUUCCUGUGCCUGAUGCAAGGGUUAAAAGGACCGAGAGGACAGGCGAGUCCACCUCUCAGAACGAGGCCAGCCUUUUCUCUAAAACAAGGACAUUUCUUGAACAAACUGGCCGCACUUGUUUGACAUGGGUCUUUACCACUCUCUGUCAAAAGCCACAGCUUGUAUUUUUUAGACUUUGCCCCUGAAACGUUGGUCUUUUUCUGUGACUCUAACUGAACGACGCUGGCCCGCCUACUCCCGCUGCUGGUUUUUUGUUUUUUUCCAGGAGCAUCCUGUUUUAAGCGAAUACAGAACUAACAGGCAAAUUAAGUGGUAUUUAUAUUUUUUUUUCCAAAACAAAUCUCCCUGCACUAAUCGUCGUGUUCGAAGGGAUAACAGGAGGAGCUGGGGGUGUUUCUGGAGAAAAGGGGUGAGUUAAGGUGCCCGAGAGUUUAAUGUCACUCAGGACAGAGUCCGGGCAGCAGACUGGGAGGCGCACCCCCUCCCAGCCCCUGUGGCUGGGGAUUCAGGACCUGGAAGGACCAGACCCUGCGGGGGCUGGGGGGGGCGCAUCCCAGCAGGGAGUAGACAACCAUCCCUCUCGCAGGAGCACAGCUCUCAGUGAGCAGAGGAGCCCACGGUUAUGGAAAUCACCCCCAGCUCCUGUUCCCACAUUUUGCAAGAGGCUUUAAACUCCAGAUGUUCCCAAAGAGCCCUUUCCGUCGCCAGCUAAUCUUUCCGGAGUCUGUACCAAUCCUCUCCUCUGUGCCAACGAUUGCCCGCACCUGGCAGCGGAUCCCCGCACCUGGCAGCCGGGCAGAACCACCUGAGGAGCUCCGAGCAACCCCCGCCGCCCGUCUCACCCCGGACAGACGGAGGAAGCCGGCCUGUCUGGGGGUGGGAGGCAGGCUUCGGGUUUUAUCUGCAUUUGCUUUGGUCUAAAAUCCCCAGGGAUUCUCAUUUGCAACCAAGUGCUUUAGCCCAACUACGCGCUCGGCCCCAGCCCCCACUCCCCGCGCCAAUGACCUCAGCGGCAAGCAGGGACCUGACUCCGGCGACCGGCUGCGCGAUGUUGAAAUCGCGCAAUUAAACCUUCCGAG